UUUCUAGCGCAUGACCUUAAACAGUGAUGUUUGAGGUGACGAGGAAGAGGUUGUCGAAUUUUCAGCGGAUGCCUCUCGGCUGGUCUCGGUCGAUAAAUGCUUUUAAAGCCUUCAGGUAACUGGAGGGACAAAUG
Molecule: non-coding RNA, 134 nt
Filed under: pig gut metagenome
Description: glmS glucosamine-6-phosphate activated ribozyme
Rfam family: glmS glucosamine-6-phosphate activated ribozyme aptamer
About the family: This entry contains a glucosamine-6-phosphate activated ribozyme that is found in the mRNA for GlmS. GlmS is an enzyme that uses fructose-6-phosphate and glutamine to generate glucosamine-6-phosphate.
Source: RNAcentral